Molecule: ribosomal RNA, 253 nt
Filed under: uncultured bacterium
Lineage: Bacteria
Description: partial 16S ribosomal RNA
Rfam family: Bacterial small subunit ribosomal RNA
Source: RNAcentral
UACAGAGGUCUCAAGCGUUGUUCGGAUUCAUUGGGCGUAAAGGGUGCGUAGGCGGCGCGGUAAGUCGGGUGUGAAAUCUCGGAGCUUAACUCCGAGACUGCAUUCGAUACUGCCGUGCUUGAGGACUGGAGAGGAGACUGGAAUUUACGGUGUAGCGGUGAAAUGCGUAGAUAUCGUAAGGAAGACCAGUGGCGAAGGCGGGUCUCUGGACAGUACCUGACGCUGAGGCACGAAGGUCAGGGGAGCAAACGGG